RNAcentral lists this ribosomal RNA (568 nucleotides) under Talaromyces pinophilus. Its description in RNAcentral is "eukaryotic LSU rRNA". The stretch from base 208 to 361 matches the Rfam family "5.8S ribosomal RNA". Lineage: Eukaryota; Fungi; Ascomycota; Eurotiomycetes; Eurotiales; Trichocomaceae. The record is from RNAcentral.
UGCAAUAGUAAGUGGCGAGAGAGACAUUACCGAGUGCGGGCCCUCGCGGCCCAACCUCCCACCCUUGUCUCUAUACACCUGUUGCUUUGGCGGGCCCACCGGGGCCACCUGGUCGCCGGGGGACGCACGUCUCCGGGCCCGCGCCCGCCGAAGCGCUCUGUGAACCCUGAUGAAGAUGGGCUGUCUGAGUACUGUGAAAAUUGUCAAAACUUUCAACAAUGGAUCUCUUGGUUCCGGCAUCGAUGAAGAACGCAGCGAAAUGCGAUAAGUAAUGUGAAUUGCAGAAUUCCGUGAAUCAUCGAAUCUUUGAACGCACAUUGCGCCCCCUGGCAUUCCGGGGGGCAUGCCUGUCCGAGCGUCAUUUCUGCCCUCAAGCACGGCUUGUGUGUUGGGUGUGGUCCCCCCGGGGACCUGCCCGAAAGGCAGCGGCGACGUCCGUCUGGUCCUCGAGCGUAUGGGGCUCUGUCACUCGCUCGGGAAGGACCUGCGGGGGUUGGUCACCACCAUGUUUUACCACGGUUGACCUCGGAUCAGGUAGGAGUUACCCGCUGAACUUAAGCAUAUCAAA